RNAcentral lists this ribosomal RNA (253 nucleotides) under uncultured bacterium. RNAcentral describes it as "partial 16S ribosomal RNA". It matches the Rfam family "Bacterial small subunit ribosomal RNA", at positions 524 to 776 of the family's 1533-position model. The record is from RNAcentral.
UACGGAGGGUGCGAGCGUUGUUCGGAAUCACUGGGCGUAAAGGGCGUGUAGGCGGUCCGUUAAGUCUGAUGUGAAAGCCCGGGGCUCACCCCCGGAAGUGCAUUGGAAACUGACGGACUCGAGUCCCGGAGAGGAGAGUGGAAUUCCUGGUGUAGCGGUGAAAUGCGUAGAUAUCAGGAGGAACACCGGUGGCGAAGGCGGCUCUCUGGACGGUGACUGACGCUGAGACGCGAAAGCGUGGGGAGCAAACAGG